This is an RNA transcript of Mesoplodon densirostris (Blainville's beaked whale), 3514 nucleotides long. It is a transcript of the gene named PH domain containing endocytic trafficking adaptor 1, with no coding region annotated. Lineage: Eukaryota; Metazoa; Chordata; Mammalia; Artiodactyla; Ziphiidae. The record is from RefSeq and is a predicted model, not a curated record. The transcript is spliced from 5 exons.
GGGUAGCCGAAGGUCCGGCUGCCCCCGCCUCCUUCCGUCUGAUCUGCGUUCUCCCGCGGCUGCGCCGGCUCGGCCGCCCGGGAGACAAAGCACCGCCGCUGCCGCCGCCGCAACCGAGCAGGUCCCGGGCCAUGGCCGGGCCGCUCCCCGGCUCCGCGUCUCCCGUCCCGCCACUGCUGCCGUCGCCCUAGUCCGCGCCGUGAGGUUUUUGAGCACCAACUACAUGCCAGGCACUGGAAUUCAGACAAAGAACCUCUGCCCUCCUAGAGCAGGCAAAAAUGACCCAGAUGUGGAAGCAGAGGCCCAGAGAGGCUUAAAGCUUGCCCGGGGUCACAUAGCCUGGACACUACAGAGCUGACAUUUGAACCCAGAGAAGAGCAAGCCGAAACCAGAACUGAGCAGAGGGCAGGGAAGUGAGCAGUGGCCUGAGAGGUGUCAGCUGAGAUGCCUCCUCCUCCAGGAAGCCUUCCAGGAUCCCACAAUUCACGCUCUCGUGGUGUUUCCACCAUUGAAGCACUGAGCACACAGCAGAUGGACAGCGACUGCAGACACAAUGUCAACACCAAAGCUAAUGGUCCAGAGGGAGUUUUGGUUCCCAGAGCCCAGGGGGCACCUACUUCUACAGGUUCUUAGGUGGCCUGUGUGUGUCAGAUGAGGCUUCCUCCUCCACUCCUGCCCCCACCUACAACCCGCGGCCACAUCCUGAGGAUUUCUGACUUCUGACCUCCAGAGCUGCAAACCAAGUGUCCAAAGGGCCUGUCUUUGGCUUUACUUUGGAGCAAUUAGUUAUCCUGACCAAGGAGGAAGUCACUCAUCAUUUCAUUCCCACCACAAGGACGUGUGGAAAAACUGAGGUGAUCAGGUUUCCAGACAAAGAGGAAAGGUCUGUCUUGGGAUGCCACGAGCCCUUGGCUCACGGGUGAAUAAUGUUUCAUGCCACUUAGGGAACUCUCUUGAUAUUAUUGGUCAAGAAAAAACAAACCUCCUGCAGCUUGAUACACAGAGAGACUCACCAUCAUGGGUUGAAGGAACCCAACCCCCACUCAUGAAAACAGUACGGAACACUGAGCCCUUAUGUGCCACACACUGUCUUAUGUGUUUUACAUGCAUCAUCAUUCCUGAUAAUGACCCUUUGAGUUGGCUGCUGUGAUACCCCCAUUUUACAGAUGGGGAGACCGAGGCACUAGUUAUACAGCUGGGAAAGGGGCACUGCUGUGGUCACCAGAAAGCCCCUCUUGGCAUUUUUCCAUCAGGAGUCUAGAGACACCCGCCACUCACACACUCCACUGAGGUGGGCACAGCUUGUAAAAUGGCUGGUCUUAGGGCCACAGCCUGCGGCCCCCGAUUGGGGCAGGGCACAAUCUCAGCUCCUCAGAUCUAGACCCCAGAGUCUAACCAGCUUCCACCUGCUGCAAUGAGUGGAAAGUGUAUUCCAAUCCUUCCAUCUUCCUGUGUUGGAGCCCACAGCACAAUCACCAACCGAGAUGCCCACAGGACCUGGGCAGGUGGUGUAGGUGCAGACAGAGGCAAAUCAUGGGCACGUGUCCUAACGGGGAGGGCCCCUCCUCAGCUAGCUGCUGUCAUGUUGGAAUUUGGGCCCUGUGUGGCCAGAUCUUACUGUUUUCCAGUGAAGCCAGUAAUCGAGAAUUUUAAUGAAAUUAGAACAUUCUUUAACACCAUACACAAAAACAAACUCAAAAUGGAUUAAAGACCUAAAUGUAAGACUGGAUACUAUAAAACUCUUAGAGAGAACAGUCUUUGACAUAAUCACAGCAAUAUCUUUUUCGAUUCGUCUCCUAGAGUAAUGGAAAUUAAAAAUAAACAAAUGGGACCGAAUUAAACUCAAAUGCUUUUGCACAGAAAAGGAAACCAUAAACAAGACGAAAAGACAACCCACAGAAUGGGAGAAAUUAUGUGCAAACGAUGCUACUGACAAGGGAUUAAUCUCCAAAAUUUACAAACAGCUCAUGCAGCUCAAUAUCAAAAAAACAAACAACCCCAUCAAAAAAAUGGGCAGAAGACCUAAACAGACAUUUCUCCAAAGAAGACAUACAGAUGGCCAAGAGGCACAUGAAAAGAUGCUCAACGUCACCAAUUAUUAGAGAAAUGUAAAUCAAAACUACAAUGAGAUAUCACCUCACACCAGUCAGGAUGGCCAUCAUCCAAAAGUCUACAAACAAUAAAUGCUGGAGAGGGUGUGGAGAAAAGGGAACCCUCCUACACCGCUGGUGGGAAUGUAAAUUCGUACAGCCACCAUGGAGAACAGUAUGGAGGUUCCUUAAUAAAGCUACCACAUGAUCUAGCCCACUCCUGGACAUAUAUCUGGUGAAAAACACGGUUCGAAAGGAUACAUUUACCCCAGUGUUCACUGCAGCGCUGUUUACAAUAGCCAAGACAUGGAAGCAACCUAAAUGUCCACUGACAGAUGAAUGGAUAAAGAAGAUGUACAUAUAUACAAUGGAAUAUUACUCAGCCAUAAAAAAAUGAAAUGAUGCCAUUUGCAGCAACAUGGAUGGACCUGGAGAUGAUCGUACUAAGUGAAGUCAGACAGAGAAAGACAUGUCAUAUAACAUCGCUUCUAUGCGGAAUCUAAAAACAUGAUACAGUUGAACUCAUUUACAAAACAGAAACAGACUCACAGACAUAGAGAAUGAACUUAUGGUUACCAGAGGGGGAAGGAUGGGGGAGAGGGGCAGAUUGGGAGUUUGGGAUUGGUAUGUACACACUGCAUAUUUAAAAUAGAUAACCAACAAGGACCUAUUGUAUAGCACAGGGAACUCUGCUCUGUAAUAACCUACAUGGGAAAAGAAUUUGAAAAAGAAUAGAUACAUGUACAUGUAUAACUGAAUCACUUUGCUGUACACCUGGAACUAACACAAUGUUGUUAAUCAACUGUACUCCAAUAUUAAAUAAAAAUAAAAAAAGAAUAUAUUAAUACAAAAAAAUCACGAUUUUUAUGUGACAAGCCCCCAUAUUUUCAUGGUGGCAAAUGAAUUUAAAAACCAGUUUUUUAAAGUACUGUUUUGUAAAACACCUGAGGGACAGAUCUGACCCCCAAUUUGUACCCACAGCUCCAGAACAAAGCAAGCAGGACACACAGAUGUUAUUAUACAAUUCUGUAUUGAGCGACGCAUUUAUUACAGAACGUGUUCCUUUUUUUUUUUUUUUUAAUUUAAACAAAGUUCAUCAGUCUCUCAUAGAAACAGUCUUGUGGGCUUUUGUUCUGUGUUUACCGUUAUAGGACGUGAACCUGACAAAGUUGUUCACAGGUCUGCCAGCUUUAAGUACAACAGGAUUUCCGUGUUCAAAAGACUAUACUAAGUGCUUAAUCAAAUCCCGUCACACAAAAGCCAGAUUUAGUCCUCUAAGGAUUGCAGUCUGCAUGUAAGCCUAGAUUUCAAUGCUGCGUGGGUUUCAACAGUAAAAAGUGGUGUGUCCCCCACGGUUGCCUUAAUUGGGACAGGGUGGCUAAAAUGAGAUGUUUCGUUUGUUCCAGAUUUGAUUACUCUGAAAA